RNAcentral lists this transfer RNA (90 nucleotides) under Pandoraea eparura. RNAcentral's name for it is "Pandoraea sp. LMG 31012 tRNA-Asp". Lineage: Bacteria; Pseudomonadati; Pseudomonadota; Betaproteobacteria; Burkholderiales; Burkholderiaceae. The record is from RNAcentral.
GCAUCAUGGGUCGUGGCGGUGGUCUUCACGCCAUAUCUCGGCGUGACGAUGCUGCCGGAGUUCAGAAAGUUCGAAGGCGGUCACGACGCA